Molecule: ribosomal RNA, 492 nt
Filed under: uncultured bacterium
Lineage: Bacteria
Description: bacterial SSU rRNA
Rfam family: Bacterial small subunit ribosomal RNA
Source: RNAcentral
AAAGGAAUAGACGGGGGCCCGCACAAGCGGAGGAACAUGUGGUUUAAUUCGAUGAUACGCGAGGAACCUUACCCGGGCUCGAACGGCUGUUGAAUAAAGGUGAAAGCUUUUAGUCGCAAGACAACAGUCGAGGUGCUGCAUGGUUGUCGUCAGCUCGUGCCGUGAGGUGUCGGCUUAAGUGCCAUAACGAGCGCAACCCUUACCGUCAGUUACCAGCAAGUGAUGUUGGGGACUCUGGCGGGACUGCCACCGUAAGGUGUGAGGAAGGUGGGGAUGACGUCAAAUCAGCACGGCCCUUACGUCCGGGGCGACACACGUGUUACAAUGGGAGGGACAGAAGGCCGCUACCCGGCGACGGGAUGCCAAUCCCCAAACCCUCUCCCAGUUCGGAUCGGAGUCUGCAACCCGACUCCGUGAAGCUGGAUUCGCUAGUAAUCGCGCAUCAGCCAUGGCGCGGUGAAUACGUUCCCGGGCCUUGUACACACCGCCCGU